Molecule: ribosomal RNA, 1479 nt
Filed under: uncultured Bordetella sp.
Lineage: Bacteria; Pseudomonadati; Pseudomonadota; Betaproteobacteria; Burkholderiales; Alcaligenaceae
Description: partial 16S-23S ribosomal RNA intergenic spacer
Rfam family: Bacterial small subunit ribosomal RNA
Source: RNAcentral
AGUUCGAUCAUGGCUCAGAUUGAACGCUGGCGGGAUGCUUUACACAUGCAAGUCGAACGGCAGCACGGACUUCGGUCUGGUGGCGAGUGGCGAACGGGUGAGUAAUGUAUCCGGAACAUUGCUGCUAAUAAUAGCGGGGGAUAACUACGCAGCGUAGCUAAUACCGCAUACGCCCUUCGAGGAAAGCGGGACCUUCAGACCUGCACUAUUAGAGCGGCCGAUAUCAGUUAGCUAGUUGGUGGGGUAACGGCUCACCAAGGCGACGAUCCGUAGCUGGUUUGAGAGGACGACCAACCACACUGGGACUGAGACACGGCCCAGACUCCUGCAGGAGGCAGUGGGAAUUUUGGACAAUGGGGAAACCCUGAUCCAGCCAUCCCGCGUGUGCGGUAGACCUUCGGGUUGUAAAGCACUUUUGGCAGGAAAGAAACGGCACGGGAUAAUACCCCGUGCAACUGUGAUACCUGCAGAAUAAGCACCGGCUAACUACGUGCCAGCAGCCGCGGUAAUACGUAGGGUGCAAGCGUUAAUCGGAAUUACUGGAAUAAGCGUGCGCAGGCGGUUCGGAAAGAAAGGUCUUGAAAUCCAGAGCUUAACUGGAACUGCAUUUUUUAACUACCGAGCUAGAGUGUCCAGAGGGAGGUGGAAUUCCGCGAUGUAGCAGUGAAAUGCGUAGAUAUGCGGAGGAACACCGAUGGCGAAGGCAGCCUCCUGGGAUAACACUGACGCUCAUGCACGAAAGCGUGGGAGCAAGCAGGAUUAGAUACCUGGUAGUCCCACGCCCUAAACGAUGUCAACUAGCUGUUGGGGCCUUCGGGCCUUGGUAGCGCAGCUAACGCGUGAAGUUGACCGCCUGGGAAGUACGGUCGCAAGACCCAAAACUCAAAGGAAUUGACGGGGACCCGCACAAGCGGUGGAUGAUGACGGAUUAAUUCGAUGCAACGCGAAAAACCUUACCUACCUUGACAUGUCUGGAAUCCCGAAGAGAUUUGGGAGUGCUCGCAAAGAGAGCCGGAACACAGGUGCUGCAUGGCUGUCGUCAGCUCGUGUCGUGAGAUGUUGGGUUAAGUCCCGCAACGAGCGCGACCCUUGUCGUGGAUUGCUACGAAAGGGCACUCUAAUGAGACUGCCGGUGACAAGCCGGAGGAAGGUGGGGAUGACGUCAAGUCCUCAGCGGCAUAUGGGUAGGGCUUCACACGUCAUACAAUGGUCGGGACAGAGGGUCGCCAACCGCGGGAACCAAUCCAGAGGAAACCCGAUCGUAGUCCGGAUCACGCAGUCUGCAACUCGACUGCGUGAAGUCGGAAUCGCUAGUAAUCGCGGAUCAGCAUGUCGCGGUGAAUACGUUCCCGGGUCUUGUACACACCGCCCGUCACACCAUGGGGUAGGUUUUCCAGAAGUAGUUAGCCUAACCGUAAGGAGGCGAUUACACGAUAAGAUUCAUGACUUUGGGGUGAAGUCGCUUUAAAGGUAGCUCUG